UGGGGAAUAUUGCACAAUGGGCGCAAGCCUGAUGCAGCCAUGCCGCGUGUAUGAAGAAGGCCUUCGGGUUGUAAAGUACUUUCAGUCGGGAGGAAGGUGGUAAGGUUAAUAACCUUAUCAAUUGACGUUACCGACAGAAGAAGCACCGGCUAACUCCGUGCCAGCAGCCGCGGUAAUACGGAGGGUGCAAGCGUUAAUCGGAAUUACUGGGCGUAAAGCGCACGCAGGCGGUUGAUUGAGUCAGAUGUGAAAUCCCCGGGCUUAACCCGGGAAUUGCACCUUAUACUGGUCAGCUAGAGUCUUGUAGAGGGGGGUAGAAUUCCAUGUGUAGCGGUGAAAUGCGUAGAGAUGUGGAGGAAUACCGGUGGCGAAGGCGGCCCCCUGGACAAAGACUGACGCUCAGGUGCGAAAGCGUGGGGAGCAAACAGG
This 429-nucleotide ribosomal RNA is filed under the name Chloroflexota bacterium. RNAcentral describes it as "Chloroflexi bacterium partial 16S ribosomal RNA". It matches the Rfam family "Bacterial small subunit ribosomal RNA", at positions 355 to 776 of the family's 1533-position model. Lineage: Bacteria; Bacillati; Chloroflexota. The record is from RNAcentral.